UACAGAGGUCUCAAGCGUUGUUCGGAUUCAUUGGGCGUAAAGGGUGCGUAGGUGGCAUGGUAAGUUGAAGGUGAAAUCUCGGAGCUCAACUCCGAAACUGCCUUCAAUACUGCCGUGCUUGAGGACUGGAGAGGAGACUGGAAUUUACGGUGUAGCAGUGAAAUGCGUAGAGAUCGUAAGGAAGACCAGUGGCGAAGGCGGGUCUCUGGACAGUUCCUGACACUGAGGCACGAAGGCCAGGGGAGCAAACGGG
RNAcentral lists this ribosomal RNA (253 nucleotides) under uncultured bacterium. Its description in RNAcentral is "partial 16S ribosomal RNA". It matches the Rfam family "Bacterial small subunit ribosomal RNA", at positions 524 to 776 of the family's 1533-position model. The record is from RNAcentral.